This 73-nucleotide transfer RNA is filed under the name Pseudomonadota bacterium. RNAcentral's name for it is "tRNA-Asn". It matches the Rfam family "tRNA". From Rfam's summary of the family: Transfer RNA (tRNA) molecules are approximately 80 nucleotides in length. Their secondary structure includes four short double-helical elements and three loops (D, anti-codon, and T loops). Further hydrogen bonds mediate the characteristic L-shaped molecular structure. tRNAs have two regions of fundamental functional importance: the anti-codon, which is responsible for specific mRNA codon recognition, and the 3' end, to which the tRNAs corresponding amino acid is attached (by aminoacyl-tRNA synthetases). tRNAs cope with the degeneracy of the genetic code in two manners: having more than one tRNA (with a specific anti-codon) for a particular amino acid; and 'wobble' base-pairing, i.e. permitting non-standard base-pairing at the 3rd anti-codon position. Lineage: Bacteria; Pseudomonadati; Pseudomonadota. RNAcentral also lists the same sequence under 2 other names. The record is from RNAcentral.
UCCGCGGUAGCUCAAUCGGUGGAGCGUCCGGCUGUUAACCGGGUGGUUGCUGGUUCGAGUCCAGCCCGCGGAG